Pelodiscus sinensis (Chinese soft-shelled turtle) is the source of this 3787-nucleotide non-coding RNA. NCBI's taxonomy places the organism in Eukaryota, Metazoa, Chordata, Testudines, Trionychidae. The record is from RefSeq and is a predicted model, not a curated record.
GAUAUAUGAUUUCCUAUCAGCAGAUGGAGGCCGGCAGUUUCCACAAUGACAGCCUACACGGUCUGUUUCACUGACGAAUCCAGUUGGCACUGCACUGAAGCUGCUCUGCAAUAAUUUAUGAAUGCCAGAUGUUGACCUGAAGCAGGACCAGGAUGAUGAUGCCGACGACGUGGCGAUUGCUAUCGACAACACGGGGUUCAUGGACGAGUUCUUCUCGGAGAUUGAAGAAACCCGACAAAACAUUGAGAAAAUUGCCGAGAACGUGGAGGGGGCGAAGAAGCUGUACAGUAUCAUUCUGUCCGCCCCCAUCCCCGAACAAAAGACGAAGGACGACCUGGAGCAGCUCACAGCAGAGAUCAAGAAAAUGGCCAACAGCGUUCGAAACAAGCUGAAGAGCAUGGAGCGGAGCAUCGAGCAGGAUGAGAUCCAGUCAUCAGCAGAUCUACGGAUACGGAAAUCCCAGCAUUCUGUCCUCUCACGAAAGUUCGUCGAUGUGAUGACCAAAUACAACGAGGCACAGGUUGACUUCCGGGAACGUAGCAAAGGGCGGAUCCAGCGGCAGCUCGAAAUCACUGGGAAGAACACAACGGAUGAGGAGCUGGAGGAGAUGCUCGAGAGUGGAAACCCAUCAAUAUUCACAUCUGGGAUCAUGGAUUCGCAGAUCUCGAAGCAGGCGCUGAGUGAGAUUGAGGGGCGGCACAAGGACAUUGUGCGGCUCGAGAGCAGCAUCAAGGAGCUCCAUGACAUGUUUGUGGACAUAGCCAUGCUGGUGGAAAACCAGGGCGGAGUCAUAGAUAACAUAGAGCUGAACAUGCUGCACACAGUAGACCACAUAGAGAAAGCGCGCGAGGAGACCAAAAAGGCUCUGAUAUACAAGAACAAGACACGCAAGAAAACGCUAAUUAUCAUUGUGGUAGUGGUUGUCUUGCUGGCAAUAGUAGCUCUGAUUAUUGGACUUUCCGUAGGGCUCAAGUAAAGCUGGCCCUCAGGGUUGCUGGCUCUGAACUGGGUCAGGGGGUGGAUUGGAGAAGAAAAGUAGGUGGGAUUCUUCCAAGCUCUGCCCUUUUCUCCAGACACUCCUGAUCUUCCUCCUGGGUUGGUGGUGAGCUUUUUCCCUUGUGGUCCUCCUCGUGCCCCACACGCCGAGUUCCUGUUCCCCCUGCCUUUCCUGGACCUGCUAAUCCCGGCCUGCUCUCUGGGCUCUGCUGUGAAUAAUUUCCCUUUAGGGUGGAGCUCUUCCCUUCUGCCCGUUCAUCAGCUAGUUGACGCAUCCCUCCUGGAGGAUCUGAGCUUGCUUCGCCUUCUCCAGAUGGUAACUGUGUCCUGCACCACUGAUGCACUUCAGAGAAGCUGCCACCAAGUCACCCCCGCCCAAUGUUGCUUCCUGUUUUGGUCGGAUCUCAUUUCCUGGUGGGAUUCCCACCACUGGUAGCAGAGACCUAAGGGAAUGCCCAGGACUGUUUCCUACCUCACUGGCCUGUCUCAUUCUCAUCUCUUUGGGGGAGAUAUUUUUUUUAACAGUUCACAAUCUUCACUGGAGGAGGCCAGGGGAUGUAAGAACUACCCCUCCAAAUGGUACUGGCUAGGACAGGGAGCUCAGGGCUUGGGAGCUCACCUGUAUCAGCUGUGUGGCAUAUUGGACACUAACUGAGGCUGGUCUCUGCAGCUCUUCAGGGCCUGGAUGCUGAGUCUUGUGUAGCACCGGAAUCGGCUCCCGAGGCAUUGCAUUGCCACCAGGAUUAGCAAGGGACGGGGGUCAAACCAACAGACACAGACUUAGCAGCAUCCUCCACCUUGCCAACCCCAGAAUUAGGACUGGAUCCGAAGCGGAGCAGGGCAUGCAGCGCUGUCCUCGAUGCUCUUAGAGGCUGGGGCUGGCAUUGAAACGUGGGUCUACAGCUAAGCACCGGGAUGCAUUCGGCAGGACUCCCAGCAAGAGCUCAGCCAAGCAUGGGCCACAUUUCUUGUUCCUCCGUACCUGACCGGACGGGUGCCUGUGUGCAGAAGGAGGGGCCUGCAAGCCCUGUCUCUGCGAUCCCGGUGGAAGAACUGGGAGGAAUUUAAAGCUGUUUGCUUUGAAGCGUGAACCUCUGUGACCUACUUGUUUGUUCUAAGCAGCAAAAACUGUCAGGUUGGUUCCUGCACCCAACUCUAACCCUGGGCUCUGAUUUGCAGGGCUGAGGUCUCCUGGAAAACUGCAGGGUGGGUGACGUAUUCUGUUAAAUAGCAAGCAUGAAUCUGAGCACUGACCUCAUCUGAUCCUUGUUGAAGAGAGGGGUUCUCCUUGGGUUGUGGGACCAGCAGGUAUAACUGCCCACCCCUCCUGGGGAUAUAAUUUUAGUGUGUGUGUGUGUGUGUGUGUGUGUGUGUGUGUGUGUGUUCUGUAUACUCAGGACUUGUUGAGUUUCCAUGAAUGUUUUAAAUGUGCCUGGAUCAGGAGUCCUUGUGUGUAUUUAUUCUUAGCAGCCAGUCCCUGACUGUCUGCAUCUGUCACAAAUCAGGGUGGCCUGUUUUUACUGGUAUGAUGUGGGUUUGGGUGUGACGCAGCUUGGGUGGAUCACACCCAAACCCACAUGACCAGCUGUCGCUGUAGGACCAUCAUUUGGUGGCCUCUGUAGGAAAGGAGGGGUUGAGGUCUUGGGCUUGGUUCCCAGUAGGUAGCUCUUUCCAUGGCAGAAAUGCCAUCCUACUAAUUCAGCUCUGUGCUUGGCAGUGACGGUAGAGAAGCUAAGGACUGAAUCAAUGGCAGUUAUUUUUGUGGUGAUCUUCUGAAGGCAGAAUGGUGGGGGGAGUCUACUCAGUUUGCACCUGGUCUGAUAAAUAGAGGCCGCAAGGGUUGCACUAAAUCCACUUGACACGUUCUCUCCCCCUGUUGGAGAAGGAUAAGGGGAUGACAGUCCUUGGUAGUCAGGAGGGGGAGAUUCCUAUCAUGAAGUUGGCUAAACUUCCUAGCAGCAUCUGGCUGGUCCAGGUGCACCCUUCCACCCCCGCCAUCCUUCCUGGUGCGCUAGGGGCUGCACAUCUCCUACCCACUAAGCACUCACUAGCUUGAUUUCCCAUUAUCCUGAUGUACGACUGCACUUAGCCAGUGCCCCUUGGUGCACAGACGGAGCUGGGAGAGAGCUCCCAUUUGUCUGCCUCUUCUCUAGGUCUUGAUGUCUGUGACUUUUCUAGGGGUGGGUAUGGAGCCUGCUGCCAGGGUAAGGUUGCUGUUGCAGCUGCAGGGUGUUCCUGAAACUCCCCAAGGUUCUAGAGACGGGGUAACGUCCUGGUCUUCCCAAGCAAAGGUAUUGGCUUGUGUGCCAGGUUGCUUUUUAUAACUUUGAUUUAUUUUUAAUUUAAAAAAGUAAAUAAAUGAAUUUGUAUUUGAUCACACACAGCCUCUCGCCUCUGUCGUUUUCCCUGUGUGAGCCGGCCUUGCCUGAACGCAACAUCUAGCUAUAGACACCUAAGCUGCUUUUGGUCUGGGGUGAGGCAGCUGUGCUCUCUCCUUGGCUCAUGGUAGAGACAGAACUUGGCUAGAAUGAAGGGCAGAACUUUGUUUCGAAAUAAUGCUAGUAUCUCGAAAUAACAAUUCUGUGUAGACUUAUGGAGGAUAAAAGCUAGUUCAGUGUGACCAUCUACACAGCCAUUCUGUUAUUUUGAAGUAAUUUGGAAAUAACAGACGACUUAUUCUGAAAUCUGUAAACCUCAUUCUACGAGGAAUAACGCCCAUUUCGAAAUGCGGCACGUCUAGACAUUCCAUUGAUGCUUUUUCGAAAUAGCCCCUCACUAGGGCCAUUCUAAG